RNAcentral lists this ribosomal RNA (253 nucleotides) under uncultured bacterium. RNAcentral's name for it is "partial 16S ribosomal RNA". It matches the Rfam family "Bacterial small subunit ribosomal RNA", at positions 524 to 776 of the family's 1533-position model. The record is from RNAcentral.
UACGAAGGGGGCUAGUGUUGCUCGGAAUCACUGGGCGUAAAGGGUGCGUAGGCGGGUCUUUAAGUCAGGGGUGAAAUCCUGGAGCUCAACUCCAGAACUGCCUUUGAUACUGAAGAUCUUGAGUUCGGGAGAGGUGAGUGGAACUGCGAGUGUAGUGGUGAAAUUCGUAGAUAUUCGCAAGAACACCAGUGGCGAAGGCGGCUCACUGGCCCGAUACUGACGCUGAGGCACGAAAGCGUGGGGAGCAAACAGG